GUCCACGCCAUAAACGAUGAGGACUAGACGUUGGGGGCUAUAAGCUCUCAGUGUCGUAGCUAACGCGCUAAGUCCUCCGCCUGGGGAGUACGGCCGCAAGGUUGAAAACUCAAAGUAAUUGACGGGGACCCGCACAAGCGGUGGAGCAUGUGGUUUAAUUCGAUGCAACGCGAAGAACCUUACCUGGUCUUGACAUCCAUGGAAGUCUGCAGAGAUGCGGAUGUGCCGUAAGGAACCAUGAUACAGGUGCUGCAUGGCUGUCGU
Molecule: ribosomal RNA, 264 nt
Filed under: uncultured bacterium
Lineage: Bacteria
Description: partial 16S ribosomal RNA
Rfam family: Bacterial small subunit ribosomal RNA
Source: RNAcentral